UACGGAGGAUCCAAGCGUUAUCCGGAUUUAUUGGGUUUAAAGGGUGCGUAGGCGGCCUAUUAAGUCAGGGGUGAAAGACGGUAGCUUAACUAUCGCAGUGCCUUUGAUACUGAUAGGCUUGAAUAUACUUGAGGUAGGCGGAAUGUGACAAGUAGCGGUGAAAUGCAUAGAUAUGUCACAGAACACCAAUUGCGAAGGCAGCUUACUAAAGUAUGAUUGACGCUGAGGCACGAAAGCGUGGGUAGCAAACAGG
Molecule: ribosomal RNA, 253 nt
Filed under: uncultured bacterium
Lineage: Bacteria
Description: partial 16S ribosomal RNA
Rfam family: Bacterial small subunit ribosomal RNA
Source: RNAcentral